GGUGCCGUAUGGCUCAACUGGUUAGACUUUUGUCUUUCAAUCUGAGGGUCCCGGGUUCGAUUCCCCACUGUGCCA
Molecule: non-coding RNA, 75 nt
Organism: Caenorhabditis brenneri
Lineage: Eukaryota; Metazoa; Nematoda; Chromadorea; Rhabditida; Rhabditidae
Source: the annotation of a GenBank genome assembly